CGGACGGGUGAGUAACGCGUGAGAAUCUGCCUACAGGACGGGGACAACAGUUGGAAACGACUGCUAAUACCCGAUGUGCCGAGAGGUGAAACAUUUAUGGCCUGUAGAUGAGCUCGCGUCUGAUUAGCUAGUUGGUGGGGUAAGGGCCUACCAAGGCGACGAUCAGUAGCUGGUCUGAGAGGAUGAUCAGCCACACUGGGACUGAGACACGGCCCAGACUCCUACGGAAGGCAGCAGUGGGGAAUUUUCCGCAAUGGGCGCAAGCCUGACGGAGCAACGCCGCGUGGGGGAGGAAGGUUUUUGGACUGUAAACCCCUUUUCUCAGGGAAGAAGAAAGUGACGGUACCUGAGGAAUAAGCCUCGGCUAAUUCCGUGCCAGCAGCCGCGGUAAUACGGGAGAGGCAAGCGUUAUCCGGAAUUAUUGGGCGUAAAGCGUCCGCAGGCGGUUAAUCAAGUCUGUUGUCAAAGCGUGGGGCUCAACCUCAUACAGGCAAUGGAAACUGAUUGACUAGAGUAUGGUAGGGGUAGCGGGAAUUCCAGGUGUAGCGGUGAAAUGCGUAGAUAUCUGGAAGAACACCAGCGGCGAAAGCGCGCUACUGGGCCAUAACUGACGCUCAUGGACGAAAGCUAGGGGAGCUAAAGGGAUUAGAUACCCCUGUAGUC
RNAcentral lists this ribosomal RNA (663 nucleotides) under uncultured Cyanobacterium sp. Its description in RNAcentral is "bacterial SSU rRNA". It matches the Rfam family "Bacterial small subunit ribosomal RNA", at positions 99 to 795 of the family's 1533-position model. Lineage: Bacteria; Bacillati; Cyanobacteriota; Cyanophyceae; Chroococcales; Geminocystaceae. The record is from RNAcentral.